Molecule: non-coding RNA, 5392 nt
Organism: Nothobranchius furzeri (turquoise killifish)
Lineage: Eukaryota; Metazoa; Chordata; Actinopteri; Cyprinodontiformes; Nothobranchiidae
Source: RefSeq, a predicted model, not a curated record
AAGAAAAAACAUCACCCAGUUUAAAGCUGGGCGUACACUGUGCGACUUUUUCACUCGCAGCGUUCAGCUUCAGCUCAAACUGUACGACUUCCUCGCAGAGCAGAUCUCACCAGCCAUGUGCUCACACUGUACGACCCAGUUCUCGCAUGCGACCCGACUGCUCACAUUGUACGAGUGGCAUGAACUACCGCAGCUAAAAAUUAGCCAGUAGAUGACGCAACACGUUAGAAUUACAAACACGAAGAAGAAAACCCCGGAAGUAAACAACAGGGAAAACGAAAACCACGAGUUCGGUUCCGAGCAGAAAAGCGCUUGCAUGCUCGCUGUUAACCGCAAUAAUGCUCGUGAAAACAAGACGUUUGUCUUUGGCUCUUCUUGCCAUCAUGUGUGUCGAUGAAAAGAAAAAGAGAAGACAAAUGUGGACAAAGAAAUGGCUGGGCAGACGUUGCCAGUAUGGUUUGUCAAAUCUACAGCGGGAAUUGGAGGUAAGAUGUUUGAAAUUAUCUUUUCCUUAUGUAACUACAAUUGUAUCUAUUGAAUUAAAUUACAUUUUGACCAGCUGAGGGACUUUGGGGUGGUGGGUGGAGUGACAACCGCCAUUUGUAAUGCUGUUGCAUUGAUGUGUGAAAUAGAUCGAUGAUAUGAAGGGGUUUCGGGACCUUCUCCGCAUGUCUGUGGAAGAAUUCAAUGACCUUCUGGAGAGAGUGACCCCUCAAAUCAUCAGGAGAGACACACACCUGAGGAAGGUGAGACCUUCAAUUCCUUAUCUUUCCAGUUCAGGAUUGGGAGCACCACACUGAGCCGCAUUGUGAUGGAAACCUGUGCAGCCAUAACUCUAGUAUUACGUGAGGAAUACCUAAAGACACCAUCAACUGAGACUGAGUGGAAGGUCAUCGCUAAAGACUUUGAAGACAAGUGGCAUUUUCCACAUUGCAUAGGGGCCAUAGAUGGGAAACACAUCUUCAUUUAACCCCCUGCCAACAGUGGAAGCACGUUUUAUAAUUACAAGUCAAGGUUUUCCAUCAUACUUAUGGCUGUAGUUGAUGCAAAUUAUAGAUUUGUAUAUGCAAGCGCAGGGACACAAGGAAGGGCGUCUGAUGCUGGAGUGUUUGCCCAUUCUGAUCUCAGAGAGGCUAUGGACACAGGCACUCUGAAUGUCCCUCCUGAUGCAACCCUGCCAGGCACUGACUCCACAAUGCCAUAUGUGCUCAUUGGUGACGAAGCAUAUCCCCUUAGGCCAGAUCUGAUGAAACCAUAUCCAUCACAGAACCUCAACCAUGAUCAAAGGAUUUUCAACUACAGGCUUUCCAGAGCACGCCGUGUUGUUGAGAACACAUUUGGAAUUCUGGCCAAUCGCUUUCGCGUUUUCAGAACCACAAUUUGCCUGCAUCCACACAAAGUUGUUGCAAUUGUUUUUGCAACACUUUGUCUCCACAACUUCCUCCGACAACAGAGAUCAGAUGCCUACACACCACCUGGCUUUGUGGAUUCUGAAGAUGCAAACCAUCAGCUGGUCAGUGGCACAUGGCGAAGUGAGGGAGCCCUUCAGUCAGUUUCGGCAAGCAGAGCUAGGAACCCCUCAGUGGAUGCUAAGAAACAACGUGAUGUGUUAGCCCAGUACUUUGUCUCACCUGCAGGAAGAAUUUCCUGGCAGGAAAACAUGGUGUAGCUUCAUAUGCGUUAAACUUCUGUAAAUAAAGCGAGAGCAUUGGUUCCACUCAGUCAUUGGCUCAGAUGGUCUUCCUGUCUGGCUGUUAACUUUCUCUGAACAAGAACAAGACAUUGAUUAUGUGUACGGAACUGCAUUUAAAGGCUGAUUUCAACUGUUAGGGUGGAUUCUUUUGAAAAUUCAUAAUGUGUGGGAGUGGAGUGAUGCAUUUUCUUAUGUUUGCAACAUUUGUGAACAAUACAUUAAAGAAUUUUUCAAAAAGAGUUUUUAUUUAUGAAAACUAUUUAAACAAUGGCAGAUAAAAAAAACAGGAAUUUACAUAUACACCAAACAACCUGUGUGGGAGAAAAAAGGGCAAACUUUUCCUUUUUAAGACAAAAUGAUGAUUUAAAAAAAAUACUAAAACAAAGAUACUAUUGAUAAAAGUAAUUAACUAGUCUGAGUUGAGCAGGUGUCUGUAUGACAUUGGCGAUGGUGAUUGCAAAAAGUUGUCAUUCCGUGGUGGCUGGAACUGUUGCGUGUGGAAGGAAGGUGCAGGACUGACAUGUGGAACAGGACAUUGUCCAGCCUGUUCUGCCUCUUGUGCAUCAUAACUUAAGUUCAUGAUGCUUCUCCUGAGCCUCAGCUGUAAAUGUUUGUCCUUGACUUUCCGCAUUUCUGCAGCUACUUGUUGGCCAAACUGCUCCUCAGCAUCCGAUUGGUUCAGUGAACUCUUAAGUGAAUUGUUGAAUUUGAAUUGAAUUGAAUUACAUCAGUUCGUUAGUUACUGUUUCAAGCAAUAAAUAGGCAAAUGUAUUAUCUAAAGUUACUACAUGUUACUGUUAAUAUUGCUUGAUUGUUACUAGAAACAAUACAGUUCAUCGAUGCUUACCUGGCAGCUGCAACUGUGUGGCAAUUGCUUGCCAAUCUUUCUCCCGGUUGUUGCGGUCGUGAUACGUCUUUGUGCCCACAUCGUAAAGGUUUGCGUGACCUUGCCAAAGUUCCACAAUUUGGGCCUCCAUUGCUGAAGUCCAAACAACACGUUGUUGUUCCGUGGCCAUGCUGCUGCUCUUGAAUUGUUGUAGUCGUCGUCUUGCCUGAUUUGUUUAUUUGUCGCUUCCGCUUCCUAAAUUCCGCCCCUGCUUUCGUGUUUGCGCAUGCGCCGUGAGCGGUUCUGAUACUUUUUGGGUCGCAGCUGCUCGCAGCGCCGCUUCAACAGUGCGAUACCCUCACGAGGGACGAGCGAAAUAUUAAACACGCCAGAAGUCCGUGCGACCUCACGACUGCUGAUCGGUAGCUGGUCACGUGGUGUUAAUUGCCUCUCGUAACCCCCUGUACACUACACGACCGCUCGGCGCAAAACUCGCCCCGAUCUCGUGGAUUCUCGCACAACUGGAAAAUCGGCUCAAAAAAGUGAAAAAGUCGCACAGUGUACGCCCGGCUUAAAGCAGAAUGUCCUGUUGUGGAGAUACGAUCUAAACCAAUCCAGAGCAGACCCUUUGAUCCCAACCCAUCGUUCCAAGCGAUCGAGUAGAAUCGCGUGGUCAACUGUGUCAAAGGCUGCCGUCAGAUCUAACAACAGAAGCACCAUAGAUCUAGUGAUAGAUAGAUAUCAUUUAGGACCCUCAGUAGAGCAGACUCUGUGCUAUGGCCAGACCUGAACCCUGAUUGGAAAACCUCAAACAGAUCAGAGUCAGCUAAAUGUGAGACCAGCUGCUGAUAAACGACUUUCUCAAGCAGUUUAGAUGUAAAGGGCAGGGUAGAGAUAGGCCUGUAAUUUUCUAUCACAGAGACAUCAGCACCAGGUUUCUUCAGGGUCGGCCGAAUAACUGCUGCUUUCAAAGCAGCUGGGACCACACCUGUGCUGAGGCUUCCAUUGAUAAUCUGACCAAGUGAAGGGCCAAGGCACGGAAAGGCAGCCUUCCAGAGACGAGGCGGCAAAACGUCAAGUGGAGAGCCAGAUGGCUUCUGCCUCGCAACUAGCUUACUCAGCUCAGAGUAUGAAACAGUAUUGAGGGAGCUCAGGGUGGGUGGUGAUGGAGGAACUGGAACAGGGUCAACAGAGUUACCAGAAAUAGCUGCUCUAAUGCCCGAUACUUUAUCAACAAAGAAUCUGUGAAAAUCUUUAGAGUUUCCAGCAGCUGUAGGAGACAUGAAGCUAGGCUCGUGAUACACCAGAACAGAGUUUAGUGUUUUGUAGAGAAUCUUAGGAUUAUUGGAGUUUGUCUCAAUGAUGUCUGCAAAAUAGGCCGUUCUAGCAGCCCUCACAGCAUCCUGAUAAGCAACCAGAGAUGCUCUGAACAACGCACGCGAGACCUGUAGGCCAUCCUUUUUCCACUUUCUCUCAGAGGCUCUACUCGCCCGCCUACAAGCCCGUGUGACAUCAGAGAGCCAAGGCUCCCUCCUAGGCCAAGACUUGAAAAGUUUGAGAGGGGCAACCACGUCCAGGACCUGAUUACAAAGUAAAUCAAAGUGUUGUGAAAAGUGUUCAGUGUUAGAUGGAUCUGGGUUAAAGGUCUCUAACCUUACAGACAUACAGUCCACAUACAUGUCAUGAAACAUGUUCCAAGUUACAAGACUUGGUACAUGUUACAUUGAAUAUUGUCCCAAUCCUAGCUCCAUAUUUUUACACCACAUAUUUGUUCACCCUGUCUCGAGAAUGGAUUAAAUUACAGCGUACUUGACAGAAUAAAACUUUGAUGGUUACUAAUGUCCGUGGAUAGCCUGACCAUGAGCCAUUAAAACUGUUCGCUCAUAUAGCUCCUACCUGUCUUCCACUGCAAUGGGGAGUCCCACAGGGCUUUGUACUGAGACCCCUCCUUUUCUGUAUCUACCUCUUGCAGGGCAAAUCCUGAAGCGGUUUGGUCUAAUUUACCACAUAUACGCUGAUGAUUGCCAGCUAUGUGUGGCAGUGGACACACCAAAUGCUGGUGCACAUUUUUCGGACUGUUUGACUGAGGUGUAGGGCUGGUUAGCAGCCAACGUUUUGCUGAUAAAUGAGUCUAAGACUGAGGCAAUACUUUUCGUGGAUCCGUGGAAAGACUCUCAUGCACAUCAUUCCCAUAGCCUUCCUGACCUCAACUUUAAACAAUGUGUGACUAGCACUGGGGUAAAUUAGAUGCUGGACUCUCAAUGGUUCCAAAAUUAAUUCAGUGGUCAAGUCAUGUUUCUGCCAAUUGUGUCGACUUAAACCUCUAUCUGCUCAUGUCUGAAAGAAGGGCUCAAGUCUACACCGUCCAACGUUGAUGCCAAAAUGAGCACCAUUCCUGAGCUGACGCCAUCUUUGUCGUUUUUCUCCGUCGCAGCUCUAGGGUUAAGCCCGCCCAGCAUGUAGAGCACUGUGAUUGGCCAGACACAAAACUAGGCCAAUAGUAGACCUAAUGAGGUUACAAUGGAGUGAGUGUGGCCAGACACCUGCAGAGCAAAUUCUUUCUGCUACUGCUAGGGUUGGUCUAGAUUUUUAGGCUAGUCUGUGCAUGCAUUUAGGCACUAAUCAGGGAUGUCCCUCACUGGUGUGAGGGUUGUAAAAUGCAAAGUCCUGACAUGGUCAAUUUUAUACGGAGCCACAACAAGUUAUAGGAUUAUGCUGCAAUGUUUCCCCUGUCACCUUCCCUCUCAUAAACAUUUCCUGAAGCUCCUUUAGUGGAAACACAGUUAUGGUGAAUUUUUCAAGUAUUGAGCUCAGAAAAAAGACUAUUUUUUUAAAACAUAUGUUUCUCUUUAAAGUGCUAUGAAACUAAAUAG